CACACACACACACACACACACACGAGUGCAUCCUUUUUAAAGGGCAGAACAUAUGUGUGUGCGUGAUAUGUUUAUUCAGUUAUCGUUUGUAGGAAAAAAUUGUAUGCGUGGAAAUGUUUAUGGUUGAUAAAUGCAGCCAAGGAGAUUAAAGGGGUUUGGAUCGAUUCUGGGUGUAAAUGCUCAGACUAAAAAGAAACGGCAGCUUUGCACAGUGCGCUGGCCUUGCACUAGUUUUGUUUCUCAUUGGGGGAAAAGGAAUAGGUAAAAGAGAAAGAAGGAAAUGUACCUUUUUAUGGAAAGAGUAGACUGUAUGUUUGACAUUUUAGCUGUGACCUCUUUGUCGUACAAGGAAGGACAGAACAAAAGGUGCUGUUUGGUCCUGUGCCUCAGCUGAUGCCCCAGGGUGCCCCACUGUGUGCAGAGCCUCUGGCUAGAGUGUGCCCUCCGUGUAUUAGUAACCCUGUAUUCCAUUUUGUUAACGCCUAGCAGAUGGAACCUGCUAGGAGGCUGACUUUAUACUUAUUUAAAGCUUAUUUUAUGGUCAUUAAAAUGGCAGUUUCUGUGCAGCACUUUAUUGCGCAAAGAAAAGGUGCGAUUCAGUCGAGUAGCCCUUAGCUCAUCUUAAAAAGGAAUGGAUGGUUUAAAAAGGAAAAGAAAUCUUCGAAUGAAUAUGUUCACUGCUUGAAUUUGUAAAACAGCAGAAUUUCCAGUAUGCAACAGGCUGAAAGAGGGGGAAGGAAUGUGUUUUGUAUAAAAAUGGGAAGUGUGCGAUAUGAAAGUUUCCUUAUUAUUUAUCAACGGAAGAACUGGUGUCAGGGGGGAUGCUGUUCUCCCACACUGCAUUCUCCUCCCUAAUACCCACCUUUCUUUUCGUUACUUUAACCAGGCGGAUAUAAAAGCAUCCCCAUGUUCUUCCUUUUGUCAGGAUCGCUUCCCUGAAGUGAAUGCAGUCAGACAGGAAGCCAGAGACUGCACAGUCCACACCAUCAGCUCCCCUUCCCCUCUCAGCUCCUCUCUCCCAUGCCUAGCUGGUCUCUGCUUCUCUCCCCACCUGUCAUCCAGCCAAGGGUGAGGAGCCUGGUUAGAGCCCUGGCAAAUCCGUUUACACUACAGAGAUGUCACAAAGCAGGGAGACCAACCAGCUAGGCCAAAAAGGCCCCAGAGCCUCAGUCCUUCUCCAGCAGAGACUUUGCUCUCCGCCUUGUUUAACACGCUGUUCAACUCAGCCCGUAAUAUCUCAGUAAAAGACACUAUAGACACUUCUGGACAAUAUGCCCCAAGGUCACUGGGUUUAUGGGUGGGUUUGUUGUGUUUUAUUUGCUUUUGGUUUUUGUUUUAAAUUCAUGUCUUUAUCCCCAUUUAAUGGAGAAUGUGCCACUUGGCUAAUAAUGUGUUUUCAAAACUGCAGGUUCAGUGAUAAGAGACAAGGGAUCCCAGUGGUCUCCCCACCCCACCCCAGAGGUUGGCAGAAAGGUGACCCUCAGAUGCACUAGCAGGUUAGGAACCUGAGUGGGUGCCUGGUCACGAGGACCCUGGGUUUUACAGCAUGCCACUUGUGCAAUAAGAGGUCUUCGGGUGGGAACAUGAGCGAGUGAGGGAGGCGGAUGGAGACGUUUACUACUCAGAUGCCACGCAUUGCACCGCUUGCCACUGAACCUGUAUCUGAAUGACUUAGUGAUGCUUAAUGUAAUUGGGCAACUUUUUUAGCACUUUGGAAAGAGUCAUCAAUCUUUCUGGUAAAUUAUAAAAGGUUUUCUGAGUGAGAAAACGUGUGUUUGCAGUUUGUUUGACUUUUUAUAUUAUUGUUGUUGUUAUUAAUAAAGAAGAAAAUCUACAGCA
Molecule: long non-coding RNA, 1839 nt
Filed under: Rattus norvegicus (Norway rat)
Lineage: Eukaryota; Metazoa; Chordata; Mammalia; Rodentia; Muridae
Description: long non-coding RNA NONRATT014601
Source: RNAcentral